CGUUGUCACAUGCUUGUUUCAAAGAAUUAGCCCUGCAUGUUUAAGUACAGAUUCUAAAACGAAAGAAACCCCGAAAGGCUCAUUAAAUCAGUUAUGAUUUAUUAGAUUGUGCGUUCCACAUGGAUAACUGUGGUAAUUUUAGAGCUAAUACAUGCAAAUGGCCCUGACUUACGGAGGGGCGCUUUUAUUAGAUCAAAAUCAAUCGGGGCAACCCGUUUUUGUGAUGACUUUGGAUAACUUUGUGCCGACCGCAUGGCCUUGUGCCGGCGGGGUAUUUUUCAAAUGUUUGCCCUAUCAACUUUUGAUGGUAGGUGACAUGCCUUCCCUGGUUGUAACGGGUAACGGAGAAUCCGGGUUUGAUUCCGGAGAGGGAGCCUGAGAAACGGCUACCACCUCCCAGGAAGGCAGCCGGCGCGCAAAUUACCCCCUCCCGGCCCGGGGAGGUAGUGAUGAAAAAUAACAAUGCUGGGCUUCAAGUCCGGUAAUUGGAAUGAGUACACUUUAAAUCCUUUAACGAGGAUUUAGU
RNAcentral lists this ribosomal RNA (526 nucleotides) under uncultured eukaryote. Its description in RNAcentral is "bacterial SSU rRNA". It matches the Rfam family "Eukaryotic small subunit ribosomal RNA", at positions 21 to 549 of the family's 1831-position model. The record is from RNAcentral.